UGAAUAUAUGUAAUGGCCAAUGUAGUGUCAAUGUCUUGAUAAAGUUAUGUAGGAUAAAAAGAUUUUUCAGUAAUAGCAAAAAUCAUAUUUCGCAAUGACAUCAGACAACGCAAAGUGUCUGAUAUAUAAGGAGAGUAGGCAAUUUGCAAUAUUCUACUGCUGUUUGUCAUCUCUAAUUAAGGGUGAUACCGACAUCCUGAAAAAUUACGCUACUAGAUACAAUAUAUCAACCUAACUGGUAAACAAUUGGAAUUAUGAAUGUACGUCAGAGGCGUCGGAUAAGCCCACCAAAUCCAGCCAGCGUUCCAUAUAAUUAUGACGGACAGAUCGAAUCAAUAAACUUUGUGAGAUUUGUCAUUCUUAAUUAAAAUGAGGGGUCAAACACACAUUGAAACGAUUUAAACUCCAUAAGUCGAUGACUUAUACGUUAAGCUAUUAGUACAAAAAUAAUCAUGUAUGGUUAUCUUUAUUUUACUGGGAAUAUCAUGACAAGUUAAUAUGAACCUUACCCAAACACUAUCGUUUGAUAAUUGAAUAACUGCGUGAAUCUGAUUAAGUAGACGCUCAUAAAUUACAAAUUACAAAUCUUGAUUCCUAAUUUCUUAUGUUUUACUUGUCUUUAAGAUUAGAUAAAUUUGAGAAGACUAUCGCAUAAGUGUACGUAUCGCGUAAGUGUAAAGUGACAAUAUGUAUGGGUAUAUACUUACAUAGUCCUGGGUCCGGUUAAAAAUAGGCAAGAAAGAAAUACGGUAAAAGAAUAUUUUACACAAGUUUUCCUAAACUAAUUAGGUGAACUUGUUCCUGCUACAUAGGAUUUCGUAAAAAAUUGCUAAAAAAUUUGCAAACACUUGAUUACGAAAUCUGUAUCAAUUUAACGGGACGAACUUACAUGCAUUUAAAUGUAUAUACAUAUUUCCAAGUGAUACAUUCGUAAGAAGUACAUAUACAAAUUCUACAUUCGAGAACGUUUUCCAUCUUGAAAAAAUAAAAAUAAAAUGACCACGAUUGAUUCAGUAAAAAUGCAAACGUAACUUAAUAGCUGAACGUAUUUUGUCCUGAUUAUUACUGUACAUAUGCCUACCCUUUAUGUUCAGGAAACUACACAAGUUCCCACGAACAAUCGAUACAGGAUACUGCUUGAUGAGUAAUUAUUUGUCAAGUUUUAUUAUGCAUUCACUUAAUGAUAUGUCCAGUAAAUAAAAUAAACAAAGGUAACUACAGAUGCAUGAUUAAGUGCGCCACUGUCAUAGCAUUUCAGGACAAUGACAAACGUUAUGGGUGGAAAUUGGUAACAAUGGUAUCGUAUAUUCCAUAGGAGAUCGACACGAUUUCUAUGAAUUUUUCACCUUUAAUUGUACAUAAAUGAUAAAUAUCACAAGGGUUAUUUAUUAGAUACAUGUCGCCAUUGUGGUAAAGCUGACUGGAUUUGAUGGGCUAAUCCGACAUCUCUUACGUAACUAACCAAUUUGACCAAGGUUUAAGCUCAAAAGGGAAAAGAUAUCAGAACAGGAAUCCUGUAAACUGCUUACCUUAUUCAAAUUAAAGUCCAGGAAGAAUUGUGAUGAAUAUGAAUAAUGUGGGAAUUCGGAAUGUGUACAUUUUAAACGCCGCUGAUGGAGGCGGUGGGGAUGGUGGCAAGGGCGGCGGCAAGGGUGGCGUUUGUAGCGGCGGCGUCUGUGGCGGCGGCGGCGGUGG
Molecule: long non-coding RNA, 1695 nt
Organism: Folsomia candida
Lineage: Eukaryota; Metazoa; Arthropoda; Collembola; Entomobryomorpha; Isotomidae
Exons: 3
Source: RefSeq, a predicted model, not a curated record